This 484-nucleotide ribosomal RNA is filed under the name uncultured bacterium. RNAcentral describes it as "partial 16S ribosomal RNA". It matches the Rfam family "Bacterial small subunit ribosomal RNA", at positions 29 to 507 of the family's 1533-position model. The record is from RNAcentral.
AUUGAACGCUGGCGGCAUGCUUUACACAUGCAAGUCGAACGGCAGCGCGGGCUUCGGCCUGGCGGCGAGUGGCGAACGGGUGAGUAUUACAUCGGAACGUGCCCAGUAGUGGGGGAUAGCUCGGCGAAAGCCGGAUUAAUACCGCAUACGACCUGAGGGUGAAAGCGGGGGAUCUUCGGACCUCGCGCUAUUGGAGCGGCCGAUGGCAGAUUAGCUAGUUGGUGGGGUAAAGGCCUACCAAGGCGACGAUCUGUAGCUGGUCUGAGAGGACGACCAGCCACACUGGGACUGAGACACGGCCCAGACUCCUACGGGAGGCAGCAGUGGGGAAUUUUGGACAAUGGGCGAAAGCCUGAUCCAGCAAUGCCGCGUGUGUGAUGAAGGCCUUCGGGUUGUAAAGCACUUUUGGCGGGAACGAAAAGGACUGUGCCAAUACCACGGUUCGAUGACGGUACCCGAAGAAUAAGCACCGGCUAACUACGUG